GACGAACGCUGGCGGCGUGCUUAACACAUGCAAGUCGAACGGAAAGGCCCUGCUUUUGUGGGGUGCUCGAGUGGCGAACGGGUGAGUAACACGUGAGUAACCUGCCCUUGACUUUGGGAUAACUUCAGGAAACUGGGGCUAAUACCGGAUAGGAGCUCCUGCUGCAUGGUGGGGGUUGGAAAGUUUCGGCGGUUGGGGAUGGACUCGCGGCUUAUCAGCUUGUUGGUGGGGUAGUGGCUUACCAAGGCUUUGACGGGUAGCCGGCCUGGGAGGGUGACCGGCCACAUUGGGCCUGAGAGAGGGCCCAGAGUCCUACGGGAGGCAGCAGUGGGGAAUAUUGCACAAUGGGCGGAAGUCUGAUGCAGCAACGUCGCGUGCGGGAUGACGGCCUUCGGGGUGUAAACCGCUUUCGCCUGUGACGAAGCGUGAGUGACGGUAAUGGGUAAAGAAGCACCGGCUAACUACGUG
This 468-nucleotide ribosomal RNA is filed under the name uncultured bacterium. RNAcentral's name for it is "partial 16S ribosomal RNA". It matches the Rfam family "Bacterial small subunit ribosomal RNA", at positions 28 to 507 of the family's 1533-position model. The record is from RNAcentral.